Molecule: non-coding RNA, 614 nt
Organism: Camelina sativa (false flax)
Lineage: Eukaryota; Viridiplantae; Streptophyta; Magnoliopsida; Brassicales; Brassicaceae
Source: RefSeq, a predicted model, not a curated record
UAUAGGUGUUGGAAGUGGGAAUAAUAGUACACUCAGUGGUAAUAGGAAUAUCACUUGGGGCAUCACAAAGUCCAGACACUGCCAAAGCUCUCUUUGCUGCUUUAAUGUUUCAUCAAUGCUUCGAAGGUCUUGGUCUUGGUGGUUGCAUCGCCCAGGGAAAUUUCAAUUGUAUGUCAAUUACAAUAAUGUCGAUAUUUUUCUCUGUAACGACGCCGGUGGGAAUAGCGGUCGGAAUGGCAAUUUCAAACUCUUAUAAUGAGUCGAGCCCAACGGCUCUGAUCGUCCAGGGAGUCCUUAACGCUGCCUCAGCAGGCAUCCUCAUCUAUAUGUCUCUCGUAGACUUUCUCGCAGCAGAUUUUAUGCACCCAAAGAUGCAAUCUAACACUGGACUUCAAAUCAUGGCCCAUAUCUCUCUUCUUGUUGGAGCCGGGAUUAUGUCACUUUUAGCUAAAUGGGCUUAGAACGAAUCGUCUCCCGUUAAAUACGUACAGUUUGUUAUGCAAAUGAUGAUAUAUAUAAAUUAUGGUACAAAUCGCGAGAUUACAAAUUGCUAAUGUUCACUUUAUAGUUCAUAGUCUUGUUUAUACAGAUUAUAAAAGUUUUUUAAUUUAUGA